Non-coding RNA from Heterocephalus glaber (naked mole-rat), 72 nucleotides. NCBI's taxonomy places the organism in Eukaryota, Metazoa, Chordata, Mammalia, Rodentia, Bathyergidae. The record is from Rfam.
UGCAAUGUGGCUCAGUGGUAGAGCGCUUGCCUGGUUUGCACGAGGUGCUGGGUUCGAUCCCCAGUACUGCAA